CAUAGGGCAGAUGGCCUUUAGCCACGAGGAUGGACCUUCAGUGUGGGAUCACCUGAGCCAUGGGAGACCUGACUGCUCCCCUGUGAAGGUGACUCAACAACCUUGAGCAGAGUCCCCAAGAAAUCCCACCAUCUACCCACUGAGACUCCCACCAUCUCUGUCAAGUGACCCAGUGAUAAUUGGCUGCUUGAUUCAUGAUUACUUCCCAUCCGGAACUAUGAAUGUGACCUGGGACAAGAGUGGGAAGGAUAUAACCACCAUAAAUUUCCCACCUGCCCUGAGCUCUGGGGGAAGGUACACCAUGUGCAGCCAGUUGACCCUGCCAGCUGAAGAGUGCCCAGAAAAAGCAUCUGUGAAAUGCUCUGUGCAACAUGACUCUAACCCCGUCCAAGAAUUGGAAGUGGAGUGCCAUGGUCCAAGUGAUUGUCCUAUUUGUCCUUCACCAACCUGCCAUCCCAGCCUGUCACUGCAGCGGCCAGCUCUUGAGGACCUGCUCCUGGGUUCAGAUGCCAGCCUCACAUGUACUCUGAGUGGCCUGAAAAGUCCUGAGGGAGCCGUCUUCACCUGGGAACCCACUACCGGGAAGGAUGCAGUGCAGAAGAAAGCUGUGCAGGACUCGUGCGGCUGCUACAGUGUGUCCAGCGUCCUGCCUGGCUGUGCUGAGCGCUGGAACAGUGGAGCACCAUUCAAAUGCACAGUUACCCAUCCUGAGUCUGAGACCUCCUUAACUGGCACAAUUGCCAAAGACACAGUGAACACCUUCCCACCCCAGGUCCACCUGCUACCGCCGCCGUCGGAGGAGCUGGCCCUGAAUGAGCUCGUGUCCCUGACAUGCCUGGUGCGAGGAUUCAACCCUAAAGAAGUGCUGAUCCGCUGGCUGCAUGGAAAUGAAGAGCUGUCCCCUGGAAGCUACCUAGUGUUUGAGCCCCUACAGGAGCCAGGAGACGGAGCCACCACCUACCUUGUGACAAGCGUGCUGCGUGUGUCAGCCGAAACCUGGAAACAGGGUGACCAGUACUCCUGCAUGGUGGGCCACGAGGCCUUGCCCAUGAACUUCACCCAGAAGACCAUCGACCGUCUGUCGGGUAAACCCACCAACGUCAACGUGUCUGUGAUCAUGUCAGAGGGAGAUGGCAUCUGCUACUGAGCCACCCUGCCUAUCCCUACUCCUUAAAUAAACUCUGUGCUCAUCCAAAGUA
Non-coding RNA from Mastomys coucha (southern multimammate mouse), 1199 nucleotides. The record is from the annotation of a RefSeq genome assembly. NCBI's taxonomy places the organism in Eukaryota, Metazoa, Chordata, Mammalia, Rodentia, Muridae.